GACGAACGCUGGCGGCGUGCUUAACACAUGCAAGUCGAACGGAAAGGCCCUGCUUUUGUGGGGUGCUCGAGUGGCGAACGGGUGAGUAACACGUGAGUAACCUGCCCUUGACUUUGGGAUAACUUCAGGAAACUGGGGCUAAUACCGGAUAGGAGCUCCUGCUGCAUGGUGGGGGUUGGAAAGUUUCGGCGGUUGGGGAUGGACUCGCGGCUUAUCAGCUUGUUGGUGGGGUAGUGGCUUACCAAGGCUUUGACGGGUAGCCGGCCUGAGAGGGUGACCGGCCAAGUGGGACCGGGACUGCGCCCCGGCCCCGACCGGGAGGGGAGGGUGGGGAAUUGUCGCCUGGGGGAGGAGCCAUAACCCGGCGCCGCCGGGGGGGGGGAAGGGGGCUGGGGUUAGGAAUCCAAUUUCCCUUGUGAGGAGGCGAGAAUGACGGUAAUGGGAAAAGAAGCCCCGGCUAACUUCGUG
RNAcentral lists this ribosomal RNA (468 nucleotides) under uncultured bacterium. RNAcentral's name for it is "partial 16S ribosomal RNA". It matches the Rfam family "Bacterial small subunit ribosomal RNA", at positions 28 to 507 of the family's 1533-position model. The record is from RNAcentral.